UACCAGCACCCCGAGUGGUCGGGACGUUUAUUGGGCCUAAAGCAUCCGUAGCCGGUUCUACAAGUCUUCCGUUAAAUCCACCUGCUUAACAGAUGGGCUGCGGAAGAUACUAUGGAGCUAGGAGGCGGGAGAGGCAAGCGGUACUCGAUGGGUAGGGGUAAAAUCCGUUGAUCCAUUGAAGACCACCAGUGGCGAAGGCGGCUUGCCAGAACGCGCUCGACGGUGAGGGAUGAAAGCUGGGGGAGCAACCGG
Molecule: ribosomal RNA, 252 nt
Filed under: uncultured bacterium
Lineage: Bacteria
Description: partial 16S ribosomal RNA
Rfam family: Archaeal small subunit ribosomal RNA
Source: RNAcentral